RNAcentral lists this ribosomal RNA (305 nucleotides) under uncultured bacterium. Its description in RNAcentral is "bacterial SSU rRNA". It matches the Rfam family "Bacterial small subunit ribosomal RNA", at positions 334 to 654 of the family's 1533-position model. The record is from RNAcentral.
UUGGCCUACGGGAGGCAGCAGUGGGGAAUAUUGGGCAAUGGGCGCAAGCCUGACCCAGCAACGCCGCGUGAAGGAAGAAGGCUUUCGGGUUGUAAACUUCUUUUGACAGGGAAGAGUAGAAGACGGUACCUGUCGAAUAAGCCACGGCUAACUACGUGCCAGCAGCCGCGGUAAUACGUAGGGGGCAAGCGUUAUCCGGAUUUACUGGGUGUAAAGGGAGCGUAGACGGCAUAGCAAGUCUGAAGUGAAAGCCCGUGGCUCAACCGCGGAACUGCUUUGGAAACUGUUAAGCUGGAGUACUGGAG